GAACGCGAAGAACCUUACCAGGCCUUGACAUGUCCAGUUUGAUCGCCAGAGAUGGCUUUCUUCACCUCGGGUGGCUGGAACACAGGUGCUGCAUGGCUGUCGUCAGCUCGUGUCGUGAGAUGUUGGGUUAAGUCCCGCAACGAGCGCAACCCUCGUCCUUAGUUGCCAGCACGUAAUGGUGGGAACUCUAAGGAAACUGCCUGUGAUAAGCAGGAGGAAGGUGGGGACGACGUCAAGUCAUCAUGGCCCUUACGGCCUGGGCUACACACGUGCUACAAUGGCGAUGACAAUGGGUUGCAACCUCGCGAGGGGAAGCUAAUCUCAAAAAGCCGUCUCAGUUCGGAUUGUACUCUGCAACUCGAGUGCAUGAAGUUGGAAUCGCUAGUAAUCGUGGAUCAGCGUGCCACGGUGAAUACGUUCCCGGGUCUUGUACACACC
RNAcentral lists this ribosomal RNA (438 nucleotides) under uncultured bacterium. RNAcentral's name for it is "bacterial SSU rRNA". It matches the Rfam family "Bacterial small subunit ribosomal RNA", at positions 957 to 1391 of the family's 1533-position model. The record is from RNAcentral.